UUUUAAUUGAGGGAUAGUAUGAAUGGUAAAACACAUAGAAUUUAGUUUUAAGAUUAUAAUUUAAAUUUAGUAAGUUAGUUAAAAUCCUAACUAUAUAUUUAGGGACAAGAAGACCCUAUAAAGUUUAACUUUUAAGUUUUAUUUGUAGAACGAUUGAGUUUUGUUGGGGUAACAUUAUAAGAUAAGAUUUUAUAAUCAUGAAUUUUACUAAGAUUUUAUGAACCAUUUUUAGUGAUUAUAAGAUUAAAUUACUUUAGGGAUAACAGCAUAAUUAAAAUUUUUAAGUUCAAAUUGACAAUUUUGGUUAUGACCUCGAUGUUG
This 321-nucleotide ribosomal RNA is filed under the name Cyphophthalmus serbicus. RNAcentral's name for it is "partial 16S ribosomal RNA". Lineage: Eukaryota; Metazoa; Arthropoda; Arachnida; Opiliones; Sironidae. The record is from RNAcentral.